This 330-nucleotide ribosomal RNA is filed under the name uncultured eukaryote. RNAcentral describes it as "partial 18S ribosomal RNA". It matches the Rfam family "Eukaryotic small subunit ribosomal RNA", at positions 1470 to 1796 of the family's 1831-position model. The record is from RNAcentral.
CCCUUAGAUGUUCUGGGCCGCACGCGCGCUACACUGACGAAGUCAGCGAGCAUGUCCUACGUCGAUAGGUGCGGGGAAUCUUGUGAAACUUCGUCGUGCUGGGGAUUGAUUAUUGAAAUUAUUGAUCAUCAACGAGGAAUUCCUAGUAAGCGCAAGUCAGCAGCUUGCGUUGAUUACGUCCCUGCCCUUUGUACACACCGCCCGUCGCUACUACCGAUUGAAUGGUUUAGUGAGAUCUUCGGAUUGGUGCCACCGAGUCCAGCAAUGGACACGGUGAAUAUCGAAAAGUCGAUCAAACUUGAUCAUUUAGAGGAAGUAAAAGUCGUAACA